RNAcentral lists this ribosomal RNA (423 nucleotides) under uncultured bacterium. RNAcentral's name for it is "bacterial SSU rRNA". It matches the Rfam family "Bacterial small subunit ribosomal RNA", at positions 361 to 776 of the family's 1533-position model. The record is from RNAcentral.
AUAUUGGACAAUGGGCGCAAGCCUGAUCCAGCCAUACCGCGUGGGUGAAGAAGGCCUUCGGGUUGUAAAGCCCUUUUGUUGGGAAAGAAAAGCAAUCGGCUAAUACCCGGUUGUUCUGACGGUACCCAAAGCAUAAGCACCGGCUAACUUCGUGCCAGCAGCCGCGGUAAUACGAAGGGUGCAAGCGUUACUCGGAAUUACUGGGCGUAAAGCGUGCGUAGGUGGUUGUUUAAGUCUGUUGUGAAAGCCCUGGGCUCAACCUGGGAAUUGCAGUGGAUACUGGGCGACUAGAGUGUGGUAGAGGGUAGUGGAAUUCCCGGUGUAGCAGUGAAAUGCGUAGAGAUCGGGAGGAACAUCCAUGGCGAAGGCAGCUACCUGGACCAACACUGACACUGAGGCACGAAAGCGUGGGGAGCAAACAGG